GACAGCAGUCGCCACGGGAAUACGAAGGGGGCUAGCGUUGUUCGGACUUACUGGGCGUAAAGCGCACGUAGGCGGACUUUUAAGUCAGGGGUGAAAUCCCGGGGCUCAACCCCGGAACUGCCUUUGAUACUGGAAGUCUUGAGUAUGGUAGAGGUGAGUGGAAUUCCGAGUGUAGAGGUGAAAUUCGUAGAUAUUCGGAGGAACACCAGUGGCGAAGGCGGCUCACUGGACCAUUACUGACGCUGAGGUGCGAAAGCGUGGGGAGCAAACAGGAUUAGAUACCCCAGUAGUCCCUGUCUCUUAUAC
This 306-nucleotide ribosomal RNA is filed under the name uncultured bacterium. Its description in RNAcentral is "partial 16S ribosomal RNA". It matches the Rfam family "Bacterial small subunit ribosomal RNA", at positions 507 to 807 of the family's 1533-position model. The record is from RNAcentral.